This 72-nucleotide transfer RNA is filed under the name Perkinsus olseni. RNAcentral describes it as "tRNA-Pro". It matches the Rfam family "tRNA". From Rfam's summary of the family: Transfer RNA (tRNA) molecules are approximately 80 nucleotides in length. Their secondary structure includes four short double-helical elements and three loops (D, anti-codon, and T loops). Further hydrogen bonds mediate the characteristic L-shaped molecular structure. tRNAs have two regions of fundamental functional importance: the anti-codon, which is responsible for specific mRNA codon recognition, and the 3' end, to which the tRNAs corresponding amino acid is attached (by aminoacyl-tRNA synthetases). tRNAs cope with the degeneracy of the genetic code in two manners: having more than one tRNA (with a specific anti-codon) for a particular amino acid; and 'wobble' base-pairing, i.e. permitting non-standard base-pairing at the 3rd anti-codon position. The record is from RNAcentral. Lineage: Eukaryota; Perkinsozoa; Perkinsida; Perkinsidae.
GGCUGUGUGGUCUAGUGGUAUGAUUCUCGCUUAGGGUGCGAGAGGACCCAAAUUCAGUUCUCGGCACAGCCC